RNAcentral lists this long non-coding RNA (419 nucleotides) under Rattus norvegicus (Norway rat). Its description in RNAcentral is "long non-coding RNA NONRATT008198". Lineage: Eukaryota; Metazoa; Chordata; Mammalia; Rodentia; Muridae. The record is from RNAcentral.
UGAGGAAUGUCUUGAAGUUAAAGGGAGAGGGGGCAAAGGACGCAUGCGCACUUUGAGGGCUUUCUAAUGCACUUCUGUUCAAAGAAAAGAUGGCGGUUCAGUUCGAUGGGUGCCAUUUCCAGGCAUUGCAAGGGACUGCCCCAAGUAACCCGCCAGGGGUCCUUACUUCUGUUGCUUCUAAGCUGUAUGCAAAAGCGUUGUUAACUUCUAUAAAGAUCAUGUGUAUUUUAAGAAAAUGCAGUUUUUAAAACUUUUAUGUAAGAACUGACAGAGGGAUUUGCUUGUAUGUGGGAAGCUGGCUUUGAGAAAGCACUCUGGCGGGUUUAUUCCGAGUCUAGAGCUCUCGAGAUCUGUCAGUAGAUACAUGUGCAACUAGAUACGGACAACAAUUGUAUUUUUUUAAAAUAAAUAUUUUUAAC